GGCGGGUUAGCUCAGUUGGUUAGAGCGCAGGAAUCAUAAUCCUGAGGUCCCCGGUUCGAAUCCGGGACCCGCUACCA
Molecule: transfer RNA, 77 nt
Filed under: Alphaproteobacteria bacterium
Lineage: Bacteria; Pseudomonadati; Pseudomonadota; Alphaproteobacteria
Also listed under: 1 other name
Description: tRNA-Met
Rfam family: tRNA
About the family: Transfer RNA (tRNA) molecules are approximately 80 nucleotides in length. Their secondary structure includes four short double-helical elements and three loops (D, anti-codon, and T loops).
Source: RNAcentral